This 310-nucleotide ribosomal RNA is filed under the name uncultured bacterium. RNAcentral describes it as "partial 16S ribosomal RNA". It matches the Rfam family "Bacterial small subunit ribosomal RNA", at positions 503 to 809 of the family's 1533-position model. The record is from RNAcentral.
AAGUGACAGCAGCAGCCGCGGUAAUACGUAGGUGGCAAGCGUUAUCCGGAAUUAUUGGGCGUAAAGCGCGCGUAGGCGGUUUCUUAAGUCUGAUGUGAAAGCCCACGGCUCAACCGUGGAGGGUCAUUGGAAACUGGGAAACUUGAGUGCAGAAGAGGAAAGUGGAAUUCCAUGUGUAGCGGUGAAAUGCGCAGAGAUAUGGAGGAACACCAGUGGCGAAGGCGACUUUCUGGUCUGUAACUGACGCUGAUGUGCGAAAGCGUGGGGAUCAAACAGGAUUAGAUACCCCCGUAGUCCCUGUCUCUUAUAA